Molecule: long non-coding RNA, 429 nt
Organism: Daphnia magna
Lineage: Eukaryota; Metazoa; Arthropoda; Branchiopoda; Diplostraca; Daphniidae
Exons: 2
Source: RefSeq, a predicted model, not a curated record
UCUUAGGCUAUACUGUUUCUUUUGGAGAAUCCUUCUCCUCCUCCCACCUCCACAAGCUUCCCACGGCGAAACCUUAAAAUCAGCGUAACGAACAUGAAGAGUGAAACGUCCUGACAGUUUUCUUCUAACAUGGGUUUUUGCAUGCCAGUAUGAUUAUCAGUUUCGUGCUGCCUCCAACAAACUGCAGAGUUCAAAGACUUUGCAAGUUUAAAAACGAUUGGAAAGGUGGAUGAAGCAGGAGAGAGGAAACCGAUUGCACAGAGCUUCUCGGCUCUCCAGAGCUAAGGCUCAGAGAAACACAUAAAUUUAAUUUUUGUGCUAACUUAACAUUUUUUUGUCUAUUAAAUUUUUUUAUACUUGUCAAUUUUUGUGCAGCAGUUUAAUAAACUUGCUCUUAAACUUCGCAAAAAUAAAAUUGUAAUACUGAAA